UUUGGCGGAAACGUUAUCGCUAGAUUAGUGUUACUCUAGAAUUUCUUUUUUCAUCCUAUUUUGGAUGAGACAACCUACCUGCGUGUUGUUUCUUUUUACGUGACACAGCUGUACCAAUAAUUUCUUUUAAAUAUGCUUCAGAAGCUCCGCUCCUCAAGGCAUCUCUCAAUGAAAUUUCACCCUUCCCUUCAAAGAGGCAUACUUUCAAGUUACCAUCUGCAGUAAUGCGUAAUCUGUUACACGAACUACAAAAAUGCUCGCUCAUCGAGGUAAUGAAACCCACCUGUCCCACAAAUCCAGGAAACCAUUCUAUUUUCUUGCCACUGGUUGCCAGAAAAUGGCAUGUACUCGAUGAAGCGUACAUCGAUUGGUCUGUCUUUUGUAAACGUCACAAACUCUACCAGUUCAUCGUCAUUAUAAUUCCGCAUAAUGACACAGUUUAUCUAUGGUUAUAUCCUAGCUGCACUGCUAAAUCAAUAGCUGCCAUAACUCUGUUCCAUCCUUUCCGUCUGGUGAACUUUUCAAAACGUUCUUCCUUGAGGGUGUCUAAGGAAAUAUUAAGCCCAUCGAGACCGGCCCUCUGGAGAGCCGGUAGCUGUCUUGUAAGCGUCAAUCCAUUAGUCGUUAUUGCCAAAUGUUUUAAUCCAUCGAGUUCCUUCAAACGACCUAUUAAAGGAUAGAGUACAGCUGUGAAGUGGUUUUCUUCUAGUUCUAGCGUCACACAAGCAAGUUUCAAAUUUUCAUAUUACCCACCAAUAAUGUCGACAAUGUCUUUACGCACUGUUGGCUCGCCACCGGUAAGGCGGAUUUUCUGUACACCUUCCUGAACAAAAACAUUUGCGAUUUUACAAAUUUCAUCCGUUGUUAAUAUUCCUUCUCUCUUGGUCAAUGUCACACCUUCUGCAGGCAUGCAGUAUGUACCUAGAAAAAUGUUAUUACCGGAUUAAUUUAACAAAAUUUCUUUUACAGCAAACGUCCCUUGUCCUAAGUUUUUUUGCUCACAUCUCAAGUUACAACGUUCCGUCAGAGAUAUUCUCAAAUAGGUGUGAUGUCUGCCAAAACUAUCCGUAAGAAUACUGCUACUGGCGUCAUUCUUCAAUCGUUGCCUGAAUCUUUGUAACUGUAAUAGCACAAAGAGACAUCUGAUGGAGCAUCAACUGUGAUAAGAGAGAAAUGUAUGAGUAAUAUUUUUCAACCUUACUUUUAGUGAAGGCUGCUGAAUUGUGGAGGUGGCAGACUCCGUUGAUAGAAAUACAGCGUUAAUGAGUUUCUUAGAGAAAUGGACUUUACGCAGCAUCAUUACUACACAAGAUCAGAAUUGGAAAAUGACUGGCAUCUUCGAGCUGAACUAUCUUCGUUCACGAUAGUUACAACGUCUUUAGAUUGAGAAAAUCAAAGAGAUAGUCGACCAGAUAAGGACUGAACCCCUUCUGUGUACUGGAGCAAC
This 1447-nucleotide unclassified non-coding RNA is filed under the name Athalia rosae (coleseed sawfly). RNAcentral's name for it is "misc RNA ENSAEAG00005002906.1". Lineage: Eukaryota; Metazoa; Arthropoda; Insecta; Hymenoptera; Athaliidae. The record is from RNAcentral.